GACGUCCAUUUACUGGAUA
This 19-nucleotide non-coding RNA is filed under the name Arabidopsis thaliana (thale cress). Lineage: Eukaryota; Viridiplantae; Streptophyta; Magnoliopsida; Brassicales; Brassicaceae. The record is from RNAcentral.